RNAcentral lists this ribosomal RNA (462 nucleotides) under uncultured bacterium. Its description in RNAcentral is "partial 16S ribosomal RNA". It matches the Rfam family "Bacterial small subunit ribosomal RNA", at positions 28 to 507 of the family's 1533-position model. The record is from RNAcentral.
GACGAACGCUGGCGGCGUGCUUAACACAUGCAAGUCGAACGGAAAGGCCCUUCGGGGUACUCGAGUGGCGAACGGGUGAGUAACACGUGGGUGAUCUGCCCUGCACUUUGGGAUAAGCCUGGGAAACUGGGUCUAAUACCGAAUAGGACCACGCGCUUCAUGGUGUGUGGUGGAAAGCUUUUGCGGUGUGGGAUGGGCCCGCGGCCUAUCAGCUUGUUGGUGGGGUAAUGGCCUACCAAGGCGACGACGGGUAGCCGGCCUGAGAGGGUGACCGGCCACACUGGGACUGAGAUACGGCCCAGACUCCUACGGGAGGCAGCAGUGGGGAAUAUUGAACAAUGGGCGCAAGCCUGAUGCAGCGACGCCGCGUGAGGGAUGACGGCCUUCGGGUUGUAAACCUCUUUCAAUAGGGACGAAGCGAAAGUGACGGUACCUAUAGAAGAAGCACCGGCCAACUACGUG